RNAcentral lists this long non-coding RNA (1405 nucleotides) under Olea europaea subsp. europaea. The record is from RNAcentral. Lineage: Eukaryota; Viridiplantae; Streptophyta; Magnoliopsida; Lamiales; Oleaceae.
AAAUAAGAUUCUGGAGGGUGGCAGUUUUGAGAAAAGCUAGAUUGGCAAAGUGAGUGUUCUAUCAGGAAGACGAGGCUCUACAGGAUAGCAGCUUUGAGAAAAGCUAGAGUGGCAGAGGCGAUGUUCUAGCUAUAGGACGAGGCUCUGGAGGGGCUUUGGAGGGUAACAGCUUUGAGAAAAACUAGAUUGACAGAGGCGGUGUCCUAGCUGUAGGAAUAGGUUCUGGAGGAUGGGCCUGUUUUGUUGACCUGGAGGAUGAUAUUAGUACCUAUGGAUUAGGGAAAAGAGAGAAAGAGAAACCUUGUACAUAAUAUGAGUUUAAUUUUAGUCCUCAAAACUCAUUUUAUUCCAAUUCAUCGUUAUCCCUCUCCUUCUCACCCUUAAAGAGAAGUGUGUUCAAAGUAGAUUACCUUUAUGAAGUUGAAUAUUUAGAUGAAGACAACAAAGUUCUAUUCCUAACAUCCUUUUUAAUAAUCCCUAUAAAGCUUUCACAAAGCCUUUUAUAUUGGUGACAGUCUUAAUUUUUGCAUUUGUUUUUAAUUUCUCUUCCUAUUUAUCAUUCUUGCUUAUUUGGAUAUUCUAAUAUCCACUUUCCCGUCCUCUUUUAAUGGGGCAUAAGUCAUAUGUUUUUUUUUUUUUUUUUAAUAUGAGAUCGAAAUGUAACUUUUCUUUAUCAUAUUGGUUUCUAAAUGCGAUAUGUUUUAGAAAUUAGUUAAAUUAUUAUUUUCAUAUUUAAGUGACUUGAUUUUUGUAUCCUUAACAGGAUGUGGCGAAGGAAUUCGGGGUACGGGAAAUGCCAACAUUUGUGCUGCUCAAGCACGGGAAAGAAGUGGAGAGGGUGGUGGGAGCCCAGAAAGAUGAGCUUGAGAAGAAAAUCCUUGAGCACAUGAAACAAUCCCAAAACAAUCCUUAAUGCGCUCCAUCUUGAAAAGGAAACAUGCCAAGUGUGUCAAACAAGUAAAGUAUUCGUGCAAUUUGUAAGAAUCAAUGUGCUGCAGAUAAAGUCCUCGUUUGGCCCCCAUUUUUGGUAAUGAGAAUGGGAGGAAUAGUGGUUUGUUGAAAAAAUGAGUGGUUGAAAAAGAAGGAAAAAUUUUCGAUUUACGUGUAAUAUUAUUUUAUGGAAGAUUGUGUGGUUGAAAAUAGGAGAGAGAAAAAUAGAAUGUAAUUUAAUGUGGAUCAAAAUGGGGGAAAGUAUGUGAGAUAAAGUUGAAAAGUAAAGUGGUUUAUCCAUUUUAUCUAUUCCACUUGUUUGUAACUAUUUCCUAUUUUGUAGUAAAGCUUGUAAUGAGUAUAGUAUAAGCUUUGUAAUGCAUAUUGUGCAAGCUUAAUGUCUAGGUUGUCUACAAAUAAGUUAUUGGUGAUCAUUGUCAUCAUCCCCAAGCCUUGUGUAAUAUCUCUCUUUAAC